This 2414-nucleotide ribosomal RNA is filed under the name wastewater metagenome. Its description in RNAcentral is "eukaryotic LSU rRNA". It matches the Rfam family "Eukaryotic large subunit ribosomal RNA", at positions 1 to 2321 of the family's 3401-position model. The record is from RNAcentral.
CAAAUUGGACCUCAAAUCAAGCAAGGCUACCCGCUGAACUUAAGCAUAUUAAUAAGCGGAGGAAAAGAAACUAACAAGGAUUCCCCGAGUAAUGGCGAACGAAACGGGAAUAGCCCAAAUUUGAAAUCUCUGGCGCCAAGUCAGCGAGUUGUAAUUUGGAAAGAAAGUGUUCCUUGCCUCCAUGUUAAAGCAAAAGUCCACUGGAAUGUGGCGGCUCUUCGGAGCUCUUUGGGUCAGAGAGGGUGAGAAUCCCGUUUUGCUUUAGUGUGGAGACUGUUGUGUCACUUUCUUUAAGAGUCGGAUUGUUUGGGAAUGCAAUCCAAAACGGGUGGUAAAUUCCAUCCAAGGCUAAAUAUAAGCAAGAGACCGAUAGCGAACAAGUACCGUGAGGGAAAGAUGAAAAGAACUCUGAAGAGAGAGUUCAAUAGUACGUGAAAUUGCUGAAAGGGAAACGCUUGGAACUAUUGUUGCUCUUGCCUGAAACUUGUUUUCGGGCAAGGCGAGUCAACAGCAGUUUGAAGAGACUUAGACGUUUUGGGGGAAUGUGACUUGGGCUUCGGCCCAAGUGUUAUAGCCUCCAGAUACCAGGUCUUUUCAGACUGAGGGCUGCCAGGUUUACUCGAGGGGCGUAGUUGCUUGUUAGAUUAGCGUUGAUUAGGCCUUGGCUUCCACCAAGACUAGUUUUCGUUAGUUUGGCAAUGCGGCUGCGCUUCUUUAGACUUGAAGGUUGUUGACAAAAUGGUUUCAAUCGACCCGUCUUGAAACACGGACCAAGGAGUGCAACAAAUAUGCGAGUCGUAGGGUGAUUUAAACCUGAAGGCGCAAUGAAAGUGAAAGAGCAGGAAGAACUGUCACAGGUUCUGCACUGCUGCCCGGUCGUGCGGCUUAAUGCCAAAUGGUCUGAGGCAGAGCAUAUUUGCUGCGACCCGAAAGAUGGUGAACUAUGCCUGCUUAGGGUGAAGUCAGAGGAAACUCUGAUGGAGGCUCGUAGCGAUUCUGACGUGCAAAUCGAUCGUCAAAAGUGGGUAUAGGGGCGAAAGACUAAUCGAACCAUCUAGUAGCUGGUUUCCGCCGAAGUUUCCCUCAGGAUAGCAGAGAUUCAUGAUUCAUAGUUUUAUGAGGUAAAGCGAAUGAUUAGAGGAAUGGGGGGCGAAACGCUCUUCACCUAUUCUCAAACUUUAAAUAUGUAAGAAGUCCUUGUUGCUUAAUGUGAACUUGUGACCUUGCGAAUAUAGAAUCUCUAGUGGGCCAUUUUUGGUAAGCAGAACUGGCGAUGCGGGAUGAACCGAACGUUAAGUUAAGGUGCCAAAAUAUACGCUUAUUUAGAUACCAUAAAAGGUGUUGAUUCAUCUAGACAGCAGGACGGUGGCCAUGGAAGUCGGAAUCCGCUAAGGAGUGUGUAACAACUCACCUGCCGAAUGAAUUAGCCCUGAAAAUGGAUGGCGCUCAAGCGUAUUACCUAUACUUGACCAUUAAAGUAAGUUGAUUUUGCUUUAAUGUGUAGGCGGACGUGGAGAUUUUUAGUGUUGAAGCGCUUAGGGCGUGAGCCUGCGUGGAACAAUCUCUAGUGCAGAUCUUGGUGGUAGUAGCAAAUAUUCAAAUGAGAACUUUGAAGACUGAAGUGGAGAAAGGUUCCAUGUGAACAGCAAUUGGACAUGGGUUAGUCGCUCCUAAGAGAUAGGGAAAUUCCGUGAGAAAGUGCGCAAUUUAUUGUGCCGCCUAUCGAAAGGGAAUCAGGUUAAUAUUCCUGAACCAGGACGUGGAUACUGUACGGCAACGUAAGUGAACUCGGAGACGUCGGCCUGGAGCCCGAGAAGAGUUAUCUUUUCUUUUUAACAGACUUACGCCCUGGAAUCAGGUUAACUGGAGAUAGGGUUUAAUGUUUGGGAAAGCACCUCAUUUCUGAGGUGUUCGGUGCCUUUGGGACGACCCUUGAAAAUCCGAGGGAAAGAUUUAUUCGCACCCCUGGGCGUACUCAUAACCGCAUCAGGUCUCCAAGGUGAACAGCCUCUAGUCGAUAGAAUAAUGUAGGUAAGGGAAGUCGGCAAAUUAGAUCCGUAACUUCGGGAAAAGGAUUGGCUCUGAGGAUUGGGUUAUAGUGUCUAACAUUGAACGAGGAACUAAGAAGGAACUUGUCGCAAGGCAGGAUCUGGAUUGGUGAACCAGGAAAUGGGAGAUGUCUUACACCAGCAACAAUCGACUCAGAACUGAAGCGGACAAGGGGAAUCCGACUGUUUAAUAAAAACAUAGCUUUGUGAUGGAGUGAAAACUUGUUGACACAAAGUGAUUUCUGCCCAGUGCUUUGAAUGUGAAUAUGAAGUAAUUUGUAGAAGCUCAGGUAAACGGCGGGAGUAACUAUGACUCUCUUAAGGUAGCCAAAUGCCUCGUCAUCUAAUUAGUGACGCGCAUGAAUG